This 463-nucleotide ribosomal RNA is filed under the name uncultured bacterium. Its description in RNAcentral is "bacterial SSU rRNA". It matches the Rfam family "Bacterial small subunit ribosomal RNA", at positions 338 to 795 of the family's 1533-position model. The record is from RNAcentral.
CCUACGGGGGCUGCAGUGGGGAAUAUUGCACAAUGGGCGCAAGCCUGAUGCAGCCAUGCCGCGUGUGUGAAGAAGGCCUUCGGGUUGUAAAGCACUUUCAGUCAUGAGGAAGGUAGUGUAGUUAAUAGCUGCAUUAUUUGACGUUAGCGACAGAAGAAGCACCGGCUAACUCCGUGCCAGCAGCCGCGGUAAUACGGAGGGUGCGAGCGUUAAUCGGAAUUACUGGGCGUAAAGCGCAUGCAGGUGGUUUGUUAAGUCAGAUGUGAAAGCCCGGGGCUCAACCUCGGAAUAGCAUUUGAAACUGGCAGACUAGAGUACUGUAGAGGGGGGUAGAAUUUCAGGUGUAGCGGUGAAAUGCGUAGAGAUCUGAAGGAAUACCGGUGGCGAAGGCGGCACCCUGGACAGAUACUGACACUCAGAUGCGAAAGCGUGGGGAGCAAACAGGAUUAGAUACCCUGUAGUC